Molecule: small nuclear RNA, 169 nt
Filed under: Ixodes scapularis (black-legged tick)
Lineage: Eukaryota; Metazoa; Arthropoda; Arachnida; Ixodida; Ixodidae
Description: U2 spliceosomal RNA
Rfam family: U2 spliceosomal RNA
About the family: U2 is a small nuclear RNA (snRNA) component of the spliceosome (involved in pre-mRNA splicing). Complementary binding between U2 snRNA (in an area lying towards the 5' end but 3' to hairpin I) and the branchpoint sequence (BPS) of the intron results the bulging out of an unpaired adenosine, on the BPS, which initiates a nucleophilic attack at the intronic 5' splice site, thus starting the first of two transesterification reactions that mediate splicing.
Source: RNAcentral
AUUUCUCUUUCCAGUAUCUGUUCUUAUCAGCUUAAUAUCUGAUACGGGUCCUAUUUGGACCCAAGAUAUUAAUCUUAUUUUUGGAAUGCGGCGUAGUGCUUGAGGUUUACCUCACCUAUGCCACGGGUUGGCCUGGUAUUGCACUGCCUCCGGGAUCGGCCCACCCUCC